UACGUAGGAGGCAAGCGUUGUCCGGAAUUACUGGGCGUAAAGCGCGUGUAGGUGGUGGGACAAGUCUGCUGUGAAAGCGCCUGGCUUAACCGGGCGAGGUCGGCGGAAACUGUUCGACUCGAGGACGGUAGAGGGGGGUGGAAUUCCCGGUGUAGUGGUGGAAAUGCGCAGAUAUCAGGAGGAACACCGGUGGCGAAGGCGGAUCUCUGGGGCCGAUACUGACGCUGAGAAGCGAAAGCAUGGGGAGCGAACAGG
This 255-nucleotide ribosomal RNA is filed under the name uncultured bacterium. RNAcentral describes it as "partial 16S ribosomal RNA". It matches the Rfam family "Bacterial small subunit ribosomal RNA", at positions 524 to 776 of the family's 1533-position model. The record is from RNAcentral.